Molecule: ribosomal RNA, 492 nt
Filed under: uncultured bacterium
Lineage: Bacteria
Description: partial 16S ribosomal RNA
Rfam family: Bacterial small subunit ribosomal RNA
Source: RNAcentral
AUUGAACGCUGGCGGCAUGCUUUACACAUGCAAGUCGAACGGUAACAGGCCUUCGGGUGCUGCCGAGUGGCGAACGGGUGAGUAAUGCAUCGGAACGUACCCAGAGGUGGGGGAUAACGCAGCGAAAGCUGUGCUAAUACCGCAUGUGAUCUGAGGAUGAAAGCGGGGGACCGAGCAGCAAUGUUUGGCCUCGCGCCUUUGGAGCGGCCGAUGUCGGAUUAGCUAGUUGGUGGGGUAAAGGCCUACCAAGGCGACGAUCCGUAGCUGGUCUGAGAGGACGACCAGCCACAAUGGGACUGAGACACGGCCCAGACUCCUACGGGAGGCAGCAGUGGGGAAUUUUGGACAAUGGGCGCAAGCCUGAUCCAGCAAUGCCGCGUGCGGGAAGAAGGCCUUCGGGUUGUAAAACGCUUUUGGCAGGAACGAAACGGUGUCCGCUAAUACCGGGCGCUAAUGACGGUACCUGAAGAAUAAGCACCGGCUAACUACGUG